This 1518-nucleotide long non-coding RNA is filed under the name Homo sapiens (human). Its description in RNAcentral is "HSALNT0278148". Lineage: Eukaryota; Metazoa; Chordata; Mammalia; Primates; Hominidae. The record is from RNAcentral.
GGGGGCACUAGGGUGGGGAGAUCUCGAGUUUAGGCCAUAAAAAAGAUCAGAAAGAGAAGAGCCCGAGAGAGAGGUGGCCCACCUUGGCCCCGGAGCUUGGGAGGGCGGGUCCCGGCUGGGGUUCGUGGGAUCUGGACCCACUCGCCCCCCGGGACGCGAGCGCGGCGGGGACCGGGCGCGCGAGGCUGCGCCGAGAGAGGGCGCCGGCCCAGGUGCGGCCUCUGGGUGUGGCCGAAGCCAGCCCAGGCGGCCCGGAUUGUCGUCCUCUGCGGAAGCGGCCCGGGCGCGGGAGCCGCGGGCGUAGCCAGCUCCGGAGCCCCGCGCCUCCGCCGCCCCGCGCGCCCUUCCUUUGUGUCUCCCAAGCAGGGGUGAACGCAGACCACUUGGAUUUGAUUUUUCCGUGCGAGUUCCCUUUUUUCCAAGUUCGGGGCCCCUCCUUCCCCCAGCGGCGCGCGCCCCCGGGGUGUCCGCCCCCUCCCCCUCCGGCCCAGCCCUGGGCGGGGCAGACGCCCUUGGAGUCGGGAGAAAAGACUAUCUGAUUUCAAAACCGACGCGACCCGAGCUGGGCUGCGGAAAUGGCGCCCAUGUCCCGGCUCCGGCCAGGUCGUGAUCAGGAGACAGGUGUGGCCCUGGGACCCGUUUGGAGAGCAGAGCGGGGGUUGAGCGGGGCCUGCGGCAGGGAAACCGGGAGAAGCAGGAGGCCGGGCGGGGCGGGGCAGGACGGUUGAGUCCUUCAUUGCUUCUAUCACAGACUGAGGAGCCUCUCCCCACCGCAAUCCCUUUAUACUGGGUAGGGGUUCGAAGGCACAGGGACAGAGUAUACAGGACACUGCUUGAGGCAGCGCGUCCACCCACCAUCUGUGCGACCUCAUCAAGUCACCUCUCUGAGCCUCAGUUUCCCGGUAUAAUGGAAACGGCAAUUUUAAAUGACACGUAAGUGCCUGGCACUCAUUGAGCUCAUCAAAUGAAGAGCCCCGUCUCUGGGCCCCCUUGCCCCUGAGGGAAAUGCACACACAAACCUAGAAAAUGUGCUGUAAUGCACAAUGUGGGACAGACCCAGUCACUCUCCUUUCAUUCUUCUUCCAUCGAAUAUUCUGAGGCUUCGGCGCCAGCCCUUUGCCGGCGGAUGCUGCCGAGAUGAAGACAGCAUGCUCGGCCUGGUGAAGCCAAUAAAAGAGCAGGCUCCCCUCCUGGGGCCAGGUGUCACCACAGAAGCAGGCCCUGGAAGAUGCCAGGAGCCAGCCAGCCCAGGGCCCUGUCCUACCCCCGGCCCUUCCGCGGGCGAGAGCCCAGGAUCUCCAGGUCCUGCCCUGCACUUGGAGAUUUGCUCCCUAACAGGUUUUUGGUUUUGUUUUUUUGAAUAGAGGCGGGGUUUUGCCGUGUUGCCCAGGCUGGUCUCAAACUCCUGGGCUCAAGCAAUCCUCCUGCCUCAGCCUCCCCAAAUUCUGGAAUUACAGGCGUGAGCCACAUGCCCAGUCUGUUGUUUUUCCUUUCUUUUCUUUUCUUUCUUUCUUUCUU